Molecule: ribosomal RNA, 491 nt
Filed under: uncultured bacterium
Lineage: Bacteria
Description: partial 16S ribosomal RNA
Rfam family: Bacterial small subunit ribosomal RNA
Source: RNAcentral
AGUGAACGCUGGCGGUAGGCCUAACACAUGCAAGUCGAACGGCAGCACAGUAAGAGCUUGCUCUUACGGGUGGCGAGUGGCGGACGGGUGAGGAAUACAUCGGAAUCUACUUUUUCGUGGGUGAUAACGUAGGGAAACUUACGCUAAUACCGCAUACGACCUACGGGUGAAAGCAGGGGAUCUUCGGACCUUGCGCGAUUGAAUUAGCCGAUGCCGGAGUAGCUAGUUGGCGGGGUAAAGGCCCACCAAGGUGACGAUCCGUAGCUGGUCUGAGAGGAGGAGCGGCAACAAGGGAACUGAGAAACGGUCCAGACCACGACGGGAGGCAGCAGUAGGGAAUCUGACGAAAUGGGCGAAAGAAUGAAGGAGCAACGCCGCGGGAGUGAGGAAGGUCUUCGGAUCGUAAAACUCUGUGAUGAGGGAAGAACAGAUGGGUAAGGAACUGUGCAAAUCUGGACGGUACCGAAGCAGAAAGCCACGGCUAAUUACGU